CACCAUAUGGACUUCUUAGACAUCUCCUUUGAUGUUGACCAACAAGAAUAUGUACAAGCUGAUCUGUUUCGCAAACCCAUCGCUACCAGCUCUCUCGUACGUGCUGCAUCAUCACAUCCACAGAAUCUUAUCAGAGGCAUUCCCAAGGGACAAUUCCUAUGUGUGAAACAUAUUUGUUCAACCGAUGAAAUCUUUGAAAAGAGGGCAAUUGAACUCUAAGAUCGCUUUUCAGGAUGCGGAUACAAAAACCAAUGGAUCCGACAGGCCAAUUUGAGAGCCAAACACACCAGUAGAAGGAGUCUGUUACUGCCUAAGACCAAGGAUAAGAAGGAUAACCAGGUAUGACCACACGGGAAUUGAAGAAAAGGACCAGAGAACACGUCUUGGGAAUAAUAGCAGCAAAGAACGAAACGGAUCUGUCUCGCCUAACGACGGUCCCCCGACAUUUCAAGACGCAUCAUAACUGUGAACCAGGAGGCCUACAGGUGAACCGUCCAUGUCCUCUCUGGAUACCAUCUUAUUUCUUCUCAUCACUGCUCCAUCCAGCCAUGUGUGUUGCUUGCCACCAUCUUCAUUACUACUAUGAGUACAUAUAUUGUUUAU
Molecule: long non-coding RNA, 603 nt
Organism: Hyla sarda
Lineage: Eukaryota; Metazoa; Chordata; Amphibia; Anura; Hylidae
Exons: 3
Source: RefSeq, a predicted model, not a curated record